RNAcentral lists this ribosomal RNA (232 nucleotides) under uncultured bacterium. Its description in RNAcentral is "partial 16S ribosomal RNA". It matches the Rfam family "Bacterial small subunit ribosomal RNA", at positions 99 to 334 of the family's 1533-position model. The record is from RNAcentral.
CGGACGGGUGAGUAAUGUCUGGGAAACUGCCUGAUGGAGGGGGAUAACUACUGGAAACGGUAGCUAAUACCGCAUAACGUCGCAAGACCAAAGAGGGGGACCUUAGGGCCUCUUGCCAUCGGAUGUGCCCAGAUGGGAUUAGCUAGUAGGUGGGGUAAAGGCUCACCUAGGCGACGAUCCCUAGCUGGUCUGAGAGGAUGACCAGCCACACUGGAACUGAGACACGGUCCAG